GAAGUGUUAGGAUACUUAAUCCGGUAGGUUGUGGGUCUAAGAAUAUACUAUAUACACUUUA
This 61-nucleotide transfer RNA is filed under the name Whitmania acranulata. Its description in RNAcentral is "tRNA-His". The record is from RNAcentral. Lineage: Eukaryota; Metazoa; Annelida; Clitellata; Hirudinida; Haemopidae.